RNAcentral lists this long non-coding RNA (2289 nucleotides) under Capsicum annuum. RNAcentral describes it as "long non-coding RNA (CANN_LNC004302)". Lineage: Eukaryota; Viridiplantae; Streptophyta; Magnoliopsida; Solanales; Solanaceae. The record is from RNAcentral.
GACGUUUCAUGAAUUUCAUAUACCGUGAUGUUGUAGAGAAAACUCACCGUUAGUUGCUUCUUCAGUCAUUCCCCUGAUGAUGCUUGUGCCUGGUUUAUCUUCAGAUGCUUUUGCUGUUAAGUUGAGCUGCGUUAUUUUUUCUAAAUUUCAUUCUUAACUGAUGGUCAAAAACACACCCGAACUAUUACUAUUUUGCGAGUUUCACACCUCAAUUAUUAGUUAUCUUUUCCUACCUGUACUAUCAUCUUCUAAACGGAAAAUGAUGGUUAAAAAACAGAACAGGCAAAGAUGCUAUUGUUAUCUACCAGCGUUCGGGAAGAUUGCGCUGACCUUCAAAAACACUCUGUGGUGAAUAUUUUUCUUCGGGCCAAACACACUAAGAUUAACAAAAGCAAAUUAGAAGAAAGCACUUCUUGUUAACAUUCAAAACAAAGCUGAGCAACCUUUUUAUUGAAAGUAGAAGUUUGAUUACACUGAUUAAGAGAGGUCCUUGGGCUAACACUCAAUAAUAUUACUACUUAAUACUUGAUAGAUUUACCAAAUUAUGACUAGCUUAAUAUUAAGUGCACUUAAAUAAAACCCAACAACGUAAUGCCUUCCUUCGGUCCCUCUUCCUCAUGCAAUAUGAAGAGAAGUGAAUGGGAAGGUACCUUAUUCUAAAUAUUACUUUCUCUAUUUUAUUUUAUGCGACAGUAUACACCGCCAUAUAAAAUAAAACAGGGUACGCACUUGCUGGUUCCAGCUUAAAGUAUGAUCAUCCCAAGCAGAUGCAGUAUUUUCCUUUAGGCCCCGUUGCACAUGUUGCACUUUGGUAUUUGGCCUUCAAUGUUUUCUUGCAUGCACUUACACACUCUGGGAGUGUGCAUGGAUUUAUGUCAAUCCCAAUUGCACUCUCCACCUUAAUUGGAGCCCAAAUAAUUAAGGUCAUGAUCACCAUCAUUAGCACAAGUAUUCCACUCUUCUUCAUUGACUUAACUUCCAUUAAUUUCAAACUUUUUUUCCCCUUUCUUUCUUUAUAAGUACUGCAUAUAUAGGGAUGAUUUUUCACGUGUAUUUAUAGGGAAAAUUUUGUAGUCCGAUGAUGUCCCAUGAAGUAGGUACCAAAUAUUUAAAUGCAGCCUAUAAUAUUGAAUACCUGUCUUAGGAUUAAACAAAAAAUAUUAAGAUAUGAAGUAUCACAUCCCACUAGCCAUAGGAGUAUCUUUUUUAGUGUUAAUAUAAGUUGUGUCCAAUGAGGAAUCAACGUUUUGGCGAUUCUUGCAUGCGUAGUCCUUUUCCACAUAUAACGUAGUACUAGAUUUGGUUUAAUAUGAUCCUUGCCCCUUGGACAGUAUUAAAAUUGUGUUUUAGUGUAUGGGGUUUACCAAACUGUCCAAUCAUAUACACAAGUGAAUAAAUGGAAAUUUCUGUUUGUGUGUCUCUUUUGCAAAUUUGGGAAAUUAAUUAGAGCACCAGCACUAACCUAUAAGAUUCAUGGGAUUACUAUCUUGAUUAUGUCCCCUAAAGAUACGGAAUAGCUUAAAAGAAAAACUGUAUCUUCCUAGUUUCUUAAGUAUAAAAAUCGGAUGUGAAAUGCAGGUGUUAUUUGCUGAUUUGACAGUAAUUCUUUUUAUAUCAUCACUGUAUAUAAGUUACACUUUUUUCAUAAAAGUAAAAGGAGCACGUGUUGGUUCGAUUCUUGCGUCUAGUAAGUAUUGUUCAAUUGAGUUGUAAUUUACUACUUUCAUGGAAUCGUGUUUGAGAAACAUUAUUGAGUGUGUAAAUUUCAAGUUGGGAGCAACUCGAAGUGAGGUCCGUUCAACAGUCGGGAGAUUGUUAAAAAUAGGAAUUAGAGCUAGUUAAUAGGUUGCAAGAGUUGUAAUCUGAUUUCGGUUGAGGCUUCUUGAUUUAGUGAAGUUUGAGGCAAAUCUACAAGGGUGAGUCGAGUGAUUUCCACAUAAAAUAUCAUGUCAAUUAUUUUACUUAACCUGAUCCUUUAACAAGUAAGGAGUGUGGGUUUACAUGAAGUAAGCAUCGCACUAGCCUUAUUUGCAGCAUCCUAUGUUAUUAUAAGCUCUGUCCAAUAAGGAGCCAGCAUUUGGACAUUCCUUGUGCAUGAAAAUGCUUUUAUGUACUUAGCACUCCGAUCCAAUUAUAUCUAAGUGAUUAAAAAAGGAAAAAUUGUUAAUUUGUCUGCUCUUUUACAGAUUUGGGAAUCAAUUGGAUUGGCGCACCACUCUGAUUCAUGAUUGGAGGAACAAUAAUGUGGGGUAAAGGGAAGUAGUACCUUUUUGGGUUUAGGGACGAGAA